AGGUUAAGUUAACAAGGGCGCAUGGUGAAUGCCUUGGCACUAGGAGCCGAUGAAGGACGGGACUAACACCGAUAUGCUUCGGGGAGCUGUACGUAAGCUAUGAUCCGGAGAUUUCCGAAUGGGGCAACCCAGCAGUUUUAAUCAACUGUUACCACUAGAUGAAUUCAUAGUCUAGUUGGAGGUAAACGCUGUGAACUGAAACAUCUCAUUAGCAGCAGGAAUAUAAAGAAAUUUCGAUUCCCUAAGUAGCGGCGAGCGAACGGGGAACAGCCCAAACCAAAGUGCUUGCACUUUGGGGUUGUAGGACUGAACAUUUGAGUUACCAAAGAACUUGAUAGUCGAAGGAUUUGGGAAAAUCCGCCAUAGAUGGUGAUAGCCCAGUAGAUUAAAUCAAAUUCUCUCAGUUCAGGAUCCUGAGUACGGCGGAACACGUGAAAUUCCGUCGGAAUCCGGGAGGACCAUCUCCCAAGGCUAAAUACUACCUAGUGACCGAUAGUGAACCAGUACCGUGAGGGAAAGGUGAAAAGCACCCCGGGAGGGGAGUGAAAUAGUUCCUGAAACCAUGUGCCUACAAUAAGUCAGAGCGCGUUAAUGCGUGAUGGCGUGCCUUUUGUAGAAUGAACCGGCGAGUUAUGAUCCCGUGCAAGGUUAAGACUAAAAAGUCGGAGCCGUAGCGAAAGCGAGUCUGAAAUGGGCGUUUUGAGUACGAGGUUAUAGACCCGAAACCAGGUGACCUAUCCAUGUCCAGGUUGAAGGUGCGGUAAAACGCACUGGAGGACCGAACCCGUGUAAGUUGAAAAUUGCUGGGAUGAGGUGUGGAUAGCGGUGAAAUUCCAAACGAACUUGGAGAUAGCUGGUUCUCUCCGAAAUAGCUUUAGGGCUAGCCUCGGAAUUAGGAUCAUGGAGGUAGAGCACUAUUUGGACUAGGGGCCCGUCUUGGGUUACUGAAUUCAGAUAAACUCCGAAUGCCAUUGAUUCAUAUCCGGGAGUCAGACGAUGAGUGAUAAGAUCCACCGUCGAAAGGGGAACAGCCCAGACCAUCAGUUAAGGUCCCUAAAUGUAUGCUAAGUGGAAAAGGAUGUGGAGUUGCAUAGACAACUAGGAUGUUGGCUCAGAAGCAGCCACCAUUUAAAGAGUGCGUAAUAGCUCACUAGUCGAGUGAUCCUGCGCCGAAAAUGUACCGGGGCUAAGCAUACUACCGAAACCAUGGAUGCGACCAUUAGGUCGCGUGAUAGGAGAGCGUUCUAAGGGCGGUGAAGCAAGAUCGUGAGGACUUGUGGAGCGCUUAGAAGUGAGAAUGCCGGUAUGAGUAGCGAAAGAUAGGUGAGAAUCCUAUCCACCGAAUGACUAAGGUUUCCUGGGGAAGGCUCGUCCUCCCAGGGUUAGUCGGGACCUAAGUCGAGGCCGAGAGGCGUAGACGAUGGAUAACAGGUUGAGAUUCCUGUACUAGUUAAGUGCGUUUGAGCAAUGGAGGGACGCAGGAGGCUAAGAUGUGCAUUCUGUUGGAUUAGAAUGUCCAAGCAGUAAGUCUUGUGAAGAGUCAAAUGCUUUUCACUUUAAGGACAAGCUGUGAUGGGGAGCGAAAUUUAGUAGCGAAGCGUCUGAUGUCACACUGCCGAGAAAAGCUUCUAGUGAGUACUUAACUACCCGUACCGCAAACCGACACAGGUAGUCGAGGAGAGAAUCCUAAGGUGAGCGAGUGAACUCUCGUUAAGGAACUCGGCAAAAUGACCCCGUAACUUCGGGAGAAGGGGUGCUGAUCGCAAGAUCAGCCGCAGUGAAUAGGCCCAGGCGACUGUUUAUCAAAAACACAGGUCUCUGCAAAAUCGUAAGAUGACGUAUAGGGGCUGACGCCUGCCCGGUGCUGGAAGGUUAAAAGGAUGGGUUAGCUUCGGCGAAGCUCAGAAUUGAAGCCCCAGUAAACGGCGGCCGUAACUAUAACGGUCCUAAGGUAGCGAAAUUCCUUGUCGGGUAAGUUCCGACCCGCACGAAAGGCGUAACGAUCUGGGCACUGUCUCAACGAGAGACUCGGUGAAAUUAUAUUGUCCGUGAAGAUGCGGAUUACCCGCGACAGGACGGAAAGACCCCAUGGAGCUUUACUGUAGCUUGAUAUUGAGUGUUUGUACAGCUUGUACAGGAUAGGUAGGAGCCAUAGAAACCGGAACGCUAGUUUCGGUGGAGGCGUUGGUGGGAUACUACCCUCGCUGUAUGACCACUCUAACCCGCACCACUAAUCGUGGUGGGAGACAGUGUCAGGUGGGCAGUUUGACUGGGGCGGUCGCCUCCUAAAAAGUAACGGAGGCGCCCAAAGGUUCCCUCAGAAUGGUUGGAAAUCAUUCGCAGAGUGUAAAGGCACAAGGGAGCUUGACUGCGAGACAGACAGGUCGAGCAGGGACGAAAGUCGGGCUUAGUGAUCCGGUGGUACCGUAUGGAAGGGCCAUCGCUCAACGGAUAAAAGCUACCCUGGGGAUAACAGGCUUAUCUCCCCCAAGAGUCCACAUCGACGGGGAGGUUUGGCACCUCGAUGUCGGCUCAUCGCAUCCUGGGGCUGUAGUCGGUCCCAAGGGUUGGGCUGUUCGCCCAUUAAAGCGGUACGCGAGCUGGGUUCAGAACGUCGUGAGACAGUUCGGUCCCUAUCCGUCGCGGGCGUAGGAAAUUUGAGAGGACCUGUCCUUAGUACGAGAGGACCGGGAUGGACAUACCUCUGGUGUACCAGUUGUGCCGCCAGGCGCAUCGCUGGGUAGCUACGUAUGGAUGUGAUAAACGCUGAAAGCAUCUAAGUGUGAAACACACCUCGAGAUGAGAUUUCCCAUUCCUUUAUGGAAGUAAGACCCCUGAAAGAUGAUCAGGUAGAUAGGUUAGAAGUGGCAGUGCGGUGACGCAUGAAGCGGACUAAUACUAAUCGGUCGAGGACUUAACCAAG
This 2923-nucleotide ribosomal RNA is filed under the name Lactiplantibacillus plantarum. RNAcentral describes it as "bacterial LSU rRNA". It matches the Rfam family "Bacterial large subunit ribosomal RNA". The record is from RNAcentral. Lineage: Bacteria; Bacillati; Bacillota; Bacilli; Lactobacillales; Lactobacillaceae.